UGGGGAAUCCGGGGAGACAAACUUGAACGAAGGGGCUAGACAAUUUCAGAUAAAAUUCCAGGCUCCUUUCCCCAUUCCAGGUCCAGCCUCCUGCUUGAUCAGCUGAGACGGCAGAAGCCAAAGCUACUCGAGCUCCCGGGGUCACUGUCAGGAAGGAGGUACCCACAGCCCGGACGAAGCCGGUGUGCCCAUCGCUCCUGGGGAUACUGCACACCUCCUUAGCCCGGCCCCAGGUGCCUGUUCUUAGCCCACCGUGCAGGUGAGACUUCGCACCCUGGCACCACCUCCAGGAGGCCAGCUGCUUGACCUUGGAGGGCUGUGUCUUCUCCAAGAGGAGGGGUUACUACGAGGGCACCAUGCCUGGC
Long non-coding RNA from Ailuropoda melanoleuca (giant panda), 365 nucleotides. RefSeq lists it as uncharacterized. The transcript is spliced from 3 exons. The record is from RefSeq and is a predicted model, not a curated record. NCBI's taxonomy places the organism in Eukaryota, Metazoa, Chordata, Mammalia, Carnivora, Ursidae.